This 835-nucleotide long non-coding RNA is filed under the name Vulpes vulpes (red fox). Its description in RNAcentral is "lncRNA (ENSVVUG00000022610.1)". Lineage: Eukaryota; Metazoa; Chordata; Mammalia; Carnivora; Canidae. The record is from RNAcentral.
UCAUACCUGAAAGCUUCCUUUAAUUGUGUCUCUUUUUCUAUUUAAAAGGUGAUAAUGUGAUUAUUUCAGGAGACUUUGAAUCCACAUUUCUUCACUUACUAUGGUUCACCUCACCUUUGAGUUGGAGAUUCAAUCACAAGGUUUUAAACUUGGAAUACCUCUGGAGUAGAGAUUAAUUCCUGAAUGGCAUUUCACCAUCAUUUAUUGUGGUAAAAUGUCAUGAAUUGUCCUUCAGUGUACAAGUUCUCUGAGCAAUUACCUUCAUGUGCUUUUCCACUGAAGAAGCCAGAGAAGAAAAGGAGCUCAAAGGUCACUCUUGUGCCUGGAAAACCUUCUGCUACCCAGCCUGCCUCAUGAGAUUGUCCUCCUGGGGUAUAGUCCUUUUGACUACAUGAAGGAGUGUACUUGGGGGCCUGAGGGAAGGCCUGGGAAAAAGGUGAACCCUUUUUUUUUUAGGAGAGAGAUGCCUGUGGGGCAGGCUUGGCCAUCUGUUCCUGAGAAAGAACCACCACUGUAAAGACAGGAGGGGUGUCACUGGAUCAGUGCCACAGAGUCAUACAGAUGGAUACAUUUGCAUGAAAAUAAUUCAUGAUGAUUUCAUAUUAUUUUUUUUCCUUUUAAGUUUCUUCUGGAUGAUUUCCUCAGAACUCUGCAUCACUUUGAAAAUAUAUACAUGAUAAAGUGCUUUAAAUUCCCUACAUAGAAGAUAUCUUCAAAAGUUUUAUUAAUUGCUAAGCUAAUAUUGAAGUUUAAUAUAUUUUGCUAGCAUUUCUUAAAAAUGUUUUCCUUUGACAUUUCAUAUUUUUCUUAACAAUAAAAUUUUCCUGAAUCAACA